Molecule: transfer RNA, 847 nt
Filed under: uncultured Synechococcus sp.
Lineage: Bacteria; Bacillati; Cyanobacteriota; Cyanophyceae; Synechococcales; Synechococcaceae
Description: partial contains 16S ribosomal RNA, 16S-23S ribosomal RNA intergenic spacer, and 23S ribosomal RNA
Rfam family: tRNA (bases 200-273)
Source: RNAcentral
UUGGAUCACCUCCUAACAGGGAGACAAACAACGAUUUUGAUGCCUGAGUAUUUUUAUUCUUAGGCCGAAAUCCUGUCACCUUAGGUCGAUCGGUACCUCAGUUUUGAAGUUAAGAAUCAGCAGUAAUGUUGAUUGCUUGAUGGAAAUUUUCAGUUCCUAAACUUUGUCUAGGUCACACCCCUGAAGGGAUGAGACUCCUGGGCCAUUAGCUCAGGUGGUUAGAGCGCACCCCUGAUAAGGGUGAGGUCCCUGGUUCAAGUCCAGGAUGGCCCAUUCGGUGUUGGGGGUUUAGCCCAGUUGGUAGAGCGCCUGCUUUGCAAGCAGGAUGUCAGGAGUUCGAGUCUCCUAACCUCCACUGACCGAACUUUAUCCCCAUCUCCAAGUUAUUGGAGUUAAGCUCGAUUGGAGUGUGAUUUAGAUUUGUCCGCUGGAUGACCCCAGCUUCCUGUCAUUCCAAGUUUUAAGUUUAAAGCUUUGAAUUUGGCUGAUAAGAUGCUGGGCUCAAAUGAGUUGAUCAAGCAAUUGAUCAAUUGAUUUGAAGUUCUAGCAGAACCUUGACAACUGCAUAGGUAAGCCUGAAAAGAAUAAAGCAUCUCAUGGAUGAUGCGAUGAUUCUUUUCUGUGAUCCGAAAGGAUGAUGGAGAAGGAGAGUUGCAAAUUCUAUCGAGCAAGAGCCGAGACUCCAUCACGUUCUUUCAAUUGUGUCGAGCAAUUGCGAGUUUGAUUCUUGAUUCAACAAUGAAUCAGGGAGAAUCUGUUUCAACGACAGCAAGCGUGUUGGAGAUUAUAUGGUCAAGCUACAAAGAGCUCACGGCGGAUACCUUGGCACACAGAGGCGAUGAAAGGA